CCAGCACCUGCCGUUGCUGCCGGAGGAUGAGCCAGCCGCAGAGGAUGGCGCCCGUGGGCACGGACAAGGAACUCAGUGACCUCCUGGACUUCAGCAUGAUGUUCCCGCUGCCUGUGGCCAACGGGAAGGGCCGGCCCACCUCUCUGGCUGGCGCGCAGUUUGGAGGUUCAGGUCUCGAGGACCGGCCCAGCCCUGGCUCCUGGGGCACCAGUGACCAGAACAGUUCCUCCUUUGACCCCAGCCGGACCUACAGCGAAGGUGCCCACUUUAGCGAGUCCCACGGCAGCCUCUCUUCGUCCACAUUCCUGGGACCUGGGCUUGGAGGCAAGGGUGGUGAGCGGAGCGCGUACGCCCCCUUCGGGAGAGAAGCGGGUGUUGGCGGCUUGACUCAGGCCGGCUUCCUGCCAGGUGAGCUGACUCUCAGCAGCCCCGGGCCACUGUCUCCGUCGGGCCUCAAGGGCAGCUCCCAGUUCUACUCCUACCCCGGCAACCCCCGGCGGAGAGCCGCGGACGGCAGCGUGGCAGACACGCAGCCCAAGAAGGUCCGGAAGGUCCCGCCAGGUCUUCCAUCCUCGGUGUAUCCGCCCAGCUCAGGUGACGACUAUGGCAGGGACACCGCCGCCUACCCAUCUGCCAAGACCCCCGGCAACACCUAUCCCAGCCCCUUCUACAUGGCAGACGGCAGCCUGCACCCCUCCACCGAGCUCUGGAGCCCCACAGGCCAGGUGGGCUUUGGGCCCAUGCUGGGUGGGGGCUCGUCCCCCCUGCCCCUCCCUGCAGGCGGUGGCAGCUCCGUGGGCAGCAGUGGCAGCAGUGGUGGCACGUUUGGUGGCCUGCACCAGCACGAGCGCAUGGGUUACCAGCUGCACGGCGCGGAGGUGAACGGGGGGCUUCCGGCUGUGUCCACCUUCUCCUCAGCCCCUGGAGUCGCGUAUGGCAGCGUCUCCAGCCACACACCGCCCGUCAGUGGGGCUGACAGCCUGAUGGUCUCGCGAGGGACCACAGCCGGCAGCUCCGGGGACGCCCUUGGGAAGGCGCUGGCCUCGAUCUACUCCCCGGAUCACUCAAGCAAUAACUUCUCCUCCAGCCCCUCCUCCCCCGUGGGCUCCCCACAGGGUCUGGCAGGGACGUCGCAGUGGCCCCGCGCAGGAGCCCCCGGUGCCUUAUCCCCCAGCUAUGACGGGGGUCUCCACGGCCUGCAGAGCAAGAUGGAAGACCACCUGGACGAAGCGAUCCACGUGCUCCGCAGCCACGCCGUGGGCACGGCUGGUGACAUACACGGACUGCUGCCCGGCCACGGCGCGCUGGCCUCGGGCUUCGCCGGCCCCAUGCCCAUUGGCGGGCGGCAUGCUGGCCUGGUAGGAGGCGGCCACUCGGAGGACAGCCUCACAGGCAGCGCCAGCCUCCUGCACAACCACGCGGCACUGCCCAGCCAGCCCGGCGCCCUCCCCGACCUCUCUCGGCCGCCCGACACCUACAGCGGGCUCGGGCGCGCGGGCGCAGCAGCCGGUGCCGGCGAGAUCAAGCGGGAGGAGAAGGAGGAUGAGGAGAACACGUCGGUGGCCGACAACUCGGAGGAGGACAAGAAGGAGCUGAAGGCCCCCCGGACACGGACCAGCCCAGACGAGGACGAGGACGACCUUCUCCCCCCAGAGCAGAAGGCCGAGCGGGAGAAGGAGCGCCGAGUGGCCAAUAACGCCCGCGAGCGGCUGCGGGUGCGCGACAUCAAUGAGGCGUUUAAGGAGCUGGGGCGCAUGUGCCAGCUGCACCUCAACAGUGAGAAGCCCCAGACCAAACUGCUCAUCCUGCACCAGGCCGUGUCGGUCAUCCUGAACUUGGAGCAGCAAGUGCGAGCAGUACAGAGGAGGUGCUGUCCCUGGAGGAGAAAGACCUGAGGGACCGGGAGAGGCGCAUGGCCAAUAACGCGCGGGAGCGGGUGCGCGUGCGCGAUAUUAACGAGGCCUUCCGGGAGCUGGGGCGCAUGUGCCAGCUGCACCUCAAGUCGGACAAAGCGCAGACCAAACUGCUCAUCCUGCAGCAGGCCGUGCAGGUCAUCCUGGGCCUGGAGCAGCAGGUGCGAGAGCGUAACCUGAACCCCAAAGCUGCCUGCCUGAAGCGGCGAGAAGAGGAGAAGGUGUCCGGUGUGGUCGGAGACCCCCAGAUGGUGCUUUCCGCUGCCCACCCCGGCCUGAGCGAGGCCCACAACCCCGCCGGGCACAUGUGAAAGGUACGCCGUCGUGGGACGAGUGACCCAGCCUGGCCCUGCGUCCUGGGCUCAGGUCUGACCCAGAACAGUCAAUGCCAGGCACUGGGUGUUCGGCCACUCGGUGGGGCAGACGUGCCACGCCUCACACACACCCAUUGCCAGCGUUGAGCCAACACCUGACCCACCAAGGUUCCAAGUGACCAGGGCUGCGCAGGCGAUACCGGCGUGGGGGAGCUGCCCGGCUCCCCGGCCUCACCCCUGACUGUCCUCAACCCCCUGCGCCAAGUCUCGGCCGCCGUGGCGCCCGUGACGUGUUCCCUGGACCCUGAGCUCUCUCUGGGCCCCGUUGCCUGGGCGGAAAGGAGUAUUUUUGGGGAGGGGUGGGGAACAAAACUGAAAGCAAGCAACAAAAUAUACACUUUGUCAGAAAAGAAAGAAAAUGCCUUAACUCUGAAACGAGAACCGAAACAUAUCACUCGCGGGAGACGCUGUGCAAACGCGGCUUGUUCUUCAGAAGCCGCCAGCAAAUCGUGCCUAAGCCUAUUUUUUUUUUAAGGAGGAUAAAAAGAACGUUACUUAUGAG
Molecule: RNA transcript, 2789 nt
Organism: Propithecus coquereli (Coquerel's sifaka)
Lineage: Eukaryota; Metazoa; Chordata; Mammalia; Primates; Indriidae
Gene: TCF3
Gene name: transcription factor 3
Exons: 19
Source: RefSeq, a predicted model, not a curated record